GUCUCGAUGGUCUAAUGGUUAUGAUUUGCGUCUCACAUUGUGGCCACGCAAGGUUCCCAGUUCGAUCCUGGGUCGAGACA
RNAcentral lists this transfer RNA (80 nucleotides) under Gloeophyllum trabeum ATCC 11539. RNAcentral describes it as "tRNA-Val". The record is from RNAcentral. Lineage: Eukaryota; Fungi; Basidiomycota; Agaricomycetes; Gloeophyllales; Gloeophyllaceae.